CCUACGGGUGGCAGCAGUGGGGAAUAGUGCACAAUGGGGGAAACCCUGAUGCAGCGACGCCGCGUGAGUGAAGAAGUAUUUCGGGAUGUAAAGCUCUAUCAGCAGGGAAGAAAAGGACGGUACCUGAGUAAGAAGCCCCGGCUAACGACGUGCCAGCAGCCGCGGUAAUACGUAGGGGGCAAGCGUUAUCCGGAGUUACUGGGUGUCAAGGGAGCGUAGACGGCAGCACAAGUCUGGAGUGAAAUGCCGGGGCUUAACCCCGGAACUGCUUUGGAAACUGUGCAGCUCGAGUGCAGGAGAGGUCAGUGGACUUCCUAUUGUAUCGGUGCACUGCGUCGAUCUUAGGAGGACCCCCCGUGGCGCAGGCGGCUUACUGGACUGUACCUGACGUUGAGGCUCGAACUCGUGGGGAGCAAACAGGAUUAGAUACCCUUGUAGUC
RNAcentral lists this ribosomal RNA (440 nucleotides) under uncultured bacterium. RNAcentral describes it as "partial 16S ribosomal RNA". It matches the Rfam family "Bacterial small subunit ribosomal RNA", at positions 338 to 795 of the family's 1533-position model. The record is from RNAcentral.